GGACGAACGCUGGCGGCGUGCCUAACACAUGCAAGUCGAGCGAGGAGAUUCCUCGGGAUGAUCCUAGCGGCGGACGGGUGAGUAACACGUGGGCAACCUGCCUCAUAGAGAGGAAUAGCCUUCCGAAAGGGAGAUUAAUACCUCAUAACAUUGCAGUUUCGCAUGGAACAGCAAUUAAAGGAGCAAUCCGCUAUGAGAUGGGCCCGCGGCGCAUUAGCUAGUUGGUGAGGUAACGGCUCACCAAGGCGACGAUGCGUAGCCGACCUGAGAGGGUGAUCGGCCACAUUGGGACUGAGACACGGCCCAGACUCCUACGGGAGGCAGCAGUGGGGAAUAUUGCACAAUGGGGGAAACCCUGAUGCAGCCAACGCCGCGUGAGUGAUGACGGCCUUCGGGUUGUAAAGCUCUGUCUUCAGGGACGAUAAUGACGGUACCUGAGGAGGAAGCCACGGCUAACUACGUGCCAGCAGCAGC
RNAcentral lists this ribosomal RNA (474 nucleotides) under uncultured bacterium. Its description in RNAcentral is "bacterial SSU rRNA". It matches the Rfam family "Bacterial small subunit ribosomal RNA", at positions 27 to 518 of the family's 1533-position model. The record is from RNAcentral.